UACGGAGGGUGCGAGCGUUGUCCGGAAUCAUUGGGCGUAAAGGGCGCGUAGGUGGCCUGCUAAGCGUGCGGUGAAAGUCGGGGGCUCAACCCCCGAUCGGCCGUGCGAACUGGGAGGCUUGAGCACUGUAGAGGCAGGCGGAAUUCCGGGUGUAGCGGUGGAAUGCGUAGAGAUCCGGAAGAACACCGGUGGCGAAGGCGGCCUGCUGGGCAGUUUUGCUGACACUGAGGCGCGACAGCGUGGGGGAGCAAACAGG
RNAcentral lists this ribosomal RNA (256 nucleotides) under uncultured bacterium. RNAcentral describes it as "partial 16S ribosomal RNA". It matches the Rfam family "Bacterial small subunit ribosomal RNA", at positions 524 to 776 of the family's 1533-position model. The record is from RNAcentral.